This 728-nucleotide long non-coding RNA is filed under the name Setaria viridis. Its description in RNAcentral is "long non-coding RNA (SVIR_LNC002751)". Lineage: Eukaryota; Viridiplantae; Streptophyta; Magnoliopsida; Poales; Poaceae. The record is from RNAcentral.
AUAUGGUUCCUGAUUUGGUAUAAUCUUUAGUCCCCUUACUGAUUUAUUUCUGUCUCAAAUUCCAGUUAUAAUCCAGAUAAUCAUCAUAUCACGAUUAUUCAAACCCUAGCUUCUGUGAAUAGCCAAGCUGCAUUCUCUUAUUUAGUUUUGUUGGUAAUCGUGCUAUUGAUCUCCUGGAGUUAAGCUUCUUCACUGCACCGUUUAUGCCCUCAUCUUUAUUUUAUGCAGACUCGAGAGAUUAGUCCUUCCUCCUGAACCUUGAUCUGCAACUCCCUCAUUUUGGACUUCCAUCUGGUGCAUUCCCUUUUUUUUUGGAUCAAAACCAGGAAAAGAUAGUGCUUCUUUUGUUCUUGCUAAUAGAGAAUCUGAACUUGCGUUGUUUAUCUGAACAAUUAUUGUUGGAACUGGAGCUUCUUUCUGUUUGCUUGCUGUUUGGUCAUUUCUGUGGCAGAGCAAGUGUCAGACUAGAUCUCUAGUAUCUGCAUUGAAUUAGCUACCUGGAUUUCAAUUUCAAGAAUUUGGGCUGAAGCUAUCUGAUUCAAUCUACAGACUUGAGGGAGUAGCCCUUCCUCCCGAACCUUGUUAUGCAAUUCCCUCAUUUUGGACUUCCGUCAGCAUUCUAAUUUUGUGGAUCAAAACCAAGAGAAGAUGAUGCUUCUUUUGUUCUCUCCAAAGAAAUACGUCUGAACUGACAUGUCGUUUCACUGAACAAUUGUUGGAACUGGAGU